This 286-nucleotide long non-coding RNA is filed under the name Sorghum bicolor (sorghum). RNAcentral describes it as "long non-coding RNA (SBIC_LNC017613)". The record is from RNAcentral. Lineage: Eukaryota; Viridiplantae; Streptophyta; Magnoliopsida; Poales; Poaceae.
CCCCUUUACCCAGGAGUAUCAUCGGGUGCAUCCAAAAUGGUUUCUUAGCCUAUGAUGCAUUAGGCGCAAACUGUGUACCUAUCUUGCACCAAAACUAACUCUGUCUCUAAACAGACUGAAGCGAGAUUCCAUAUGACACAUGUCAUCUAGGAGUUCUAUUGGGGUGCGUCCAAAUGGAUUUCUUAGCAUAUGGUAUGUUCCAUGCAAACCGUGCACUUAUCUUGCAUCAAGAUUAGCACUAUCUCCAAACAGAUCGAACCGACCUUCCACUUGAGCCUCUUCACGU